GUCGCAACGAUCUGCGGGGCCAUCUGGAAAUUGUGUAAUAGAGCUUGUUUUGAUCAGAAAAUGGUUAGAUAUCCGACUGAAUUUAUAUGUUAUGCAUGUUCUUUUAUUUGAUACUGGGCAGGUCUCCGUGAUGAUGAAGAGAAAAAAAUGAUGGAGAUGGGCGCUACUCAUCUGCAACGAGAGGCGCUGAUGAUGCAUACAUAG
RNAcentral lists this ribosomal RNA (204 nucleotides) under Triticum aestivum (bread wheat). RNAcentral's name for it is "partial small subunit ribosomal RNA". The record is from RNAcentral. Lineage: Eukaryota; Viridiplantae; Streptophyta; Magnoliopsida; Poales; Poaceae.